CAAGCAGCCUCGCCAGGCCCAGUGUUUACCAACGUUAAGCUUGAUUUAGCCACUGCAGCAUAAGGAGAGAAGUAGACCAGAAACCUAAAGUAAAGAUGAUAAGCAUAACAAAAGCAGUUGAAUAAUUCACAAGAGUCCAAAGUUUUGAUGACCAUGCAGAGUCGAGAUAUUGUGACAAAGAAUUCCUGCAUUAAGAAGACUGUUCACUCAAUUUUUCAGAAUAACGUGUUAGAUUGAAAUCCAUCUUAUGUGGGACUAAACAAUCAGGACAUUCUUCUGGAUCACAGGCACAAAGUAUUGACAAAACCAAAGAUUACCUGGUAAUCUGCAAAUGGAGUGAUCACUGGAUGAGCCAGACAACACCAUUUUCCUUGGAAAUUUUA
This is a long non-coding RNA of Saccostrea cuccullata (small rock oyster), 383 nucleotides long. RefSeq lists it as uncharacterized. Lineage: Eukaryota; Metazoa; Mollusca; Bivalvia; Ostreida; Ostreidae. The record is from RefSeq and is a predicted model, not a curated record. The transcript is spliced from 4 exons.